GCCGAGGUAGCUCAAUAGGUAGAGCAAUGGACUGAAAAUCCAUGUGUCGGCAGUUCGAUUCUGUCCCUCGGCGCCA
This 76-nucleotide transfer RNA is filed under the name Desulfovibrio sp. RNAcentral's name for it is "tRNA-Phe". It matches the Rfam family "tRNA". From Rfam's summary of the family: Transfer RNA (tRNA) molecules are approximately 80 nucleotides in length. Their secondary structure includes four short double-helical elements and three loops (D, anti-codon, and T loops). Lineage: Bacteria; Pseudomonadati; Thermodesulfobacteriota; Desulfovibrionia; Desulfovibrionales; Desulfovibrionaceae. The record is from RNAcentral.